CGGGAAGGAGGAACGCUCGGGUCCCCGACACGAGUGGGCGCCGCUCACCCGAGUCGCUGCUGGUCGUGGGCGGCGUGUCGACCCCCAGCAGAGCCGCGGGGUUGGCGCCGGGCGGGGCGGCCCGCGGGGCGCGCUCGCUGAGCGGGUAGGGGAAGACCACCGAGGGGUCGAUGCAGUCGGCGGCCGCGGCUCCCAGGUCGUGCAGCUUGGCGGCGGCGGAGAAGCCGCUCCACAUGCAGUCCUGGAUGAUGAUGGAUUUGACGAAGGAUUCGUCGUCCGGGUCGCAGAUGAAGCUCUGGUUGACCAUGUCCCCCCCGAGCAGCUCCGUCACCAUCUCCAGCUGGUCGGCGGUGGAAGGGAAGCAGGAGGCGGCGGCCAGGCUGGAGCGGCGGCUGGGCGAGAGGGGCGGCGUGGGCAGGAGCUCAAACUUCUUCCAGAUGUCCUCGGACGGGGCGGGAGGCUGCAGCUCGCUGCCCCGCUGCUGCGCCGCCAGGUAGAAGUUCUCCUCCUCCUCCUCGAAGUAGAAGUAGGGCUGCACCGAGUCGUAGUCGUAAUCGUAGUUCUUGCUGGGGAGGCUGGCGCUGAGCGGCAUCGCGGCGGCUGCUGCCUGCGGGCGGGAGGGGGACACGGGGGGGCCGGGUGAGCCGCGCUCGGGGCCGCGAGGCUCCGCUCCCCCCGGCCCCUAUAGCGGGGGAGAUCGACCCUCGGCACGCAGCGCUCCCUCCCGGCACCCCGCGCCGUCAGAUUGAUUUAUAUAUAUAUAUAUAUAUAUAAACUAAUAAUAAUAAUAAAAUAAUAAUAAUAAUAAAAAGCACGACCCCUCGUGAGCCCCCCGCCUCACCCCCUCCC
RNAcentral lists this long non-coding RNA (849 nucleotides) under Gallus gallus (chicken). The record is from RNAcentral. Lineage: Eukaryota; Metazoa; Chordata; Aves; Galliformes; Phasianidae.